Triticum aestivum (bread wheat) is the source of this 891-nucleotide long non-coding RNA. RefSeq lists it as uncharacterized. The transcript has 6 exons. NCBI's taxonomy places the organism in Eukaryota, Viridiplantae, Streptophyta, Magnoliopsida, Poales, Poaceae. The record is from RefSeq and is a predicted model, not a curated record.
UACUCCGACCACGCACCAACCAUUUCGCACGCAACCCCAGAUGCGAUCUUGCGGCUCCUCCCCCGUCCCCGCCGUCGCCGGCGCCCCGGCGGCACCUUCCUUCCUCGCCGCCACACCCAGCCCCUCCCACUCCUCGCCCCCUCGCCACCGAUUUCUCCUAUGCCCGAGUCCAAGAUGCAAGCUUUAUCCCCUCCUCCGUCACGGCGCCGGCGACCCGGCGGCUCCGGCCUUCCUCCCCGCCGCCCGCCUAGCCCCUCCUCUCUUCCUUGCCUCCCUGCCCCCGCUUCCGCCGAUGGCCCCUUAGCAUCACCGCGGAUCCAGCUUCCCCCCCUUCCCCCGGGCCGAUGGCGCCUUCUCGUCCCCAAAUCCGCCGCUGCAGCCUACACGGGCCACAGCUGAUUAUCCUGAAGGCCAACGGCGUCAAGCUGGUCCAGAUCUGCCAGUGCUGCUCAGGAAUCUCGAGCGGGCGCACAUCCUGACCUGGCGAGCGAGCAGGCGACCUGACCUGGCGAGCGAGCAGGCGACCUGUGCAUGUAGAUGAUUCUGCAACAGGAUUUGGAGCCCCGUUUCCAUGUCUCUUAUUGCAUGAAUCUGAAACAGGAGAAGAUGACGAAAUCGACGAAGCUGUAGAUAUUUGGAACUUGUGGAAAUGUAGCUCUGGGUUGGAUGUCCUUUCUAAUGUUUUUGGGGCCGACAUUCUUUCUACCUUUUGAUUCAGCUUGUUGAAGUGUGGCCAUCAAUUUUGGAGGAGGAAGAGAAGGAAGAAAGAGAAGGCAAAACAAAAGAAGGAAGAAAAGGCAAAUCUCACAGAACAGGAGGCUGGUGAAGAAUAUUUGGCUUUAAAGGAAAUGACUGGGCCUACUGCUAGGCAAGAAGAAGAAAUGAUAUUAG